UAGGGAAUCUUCCGCAAUGGACGCAAGUCUGACGGAGCAACGCCGCGUGAGUGAAGAAGGAUUUCGGUUCGUAAAACUCUGUUGUUAGAGAAGAACAGCGCAUAGAGUAACUGUUAUGCGUGUGACGGUAUCUAACCAGAAAGCCGCGGCUAACUACGUGCCAGCAGCCGCGGUAAUACGUAGGUGGCAAGCGUUGUCCGGAUUUAUUGGGCGUAAAGCGAGCGCAGGCGGUCAAUUAAGUCUGAUGUGAAAGCCCCCGGCUCAACCGGGGAGGGUCAUUGGAAACUGGUUGACUUGAGUGCAGAAGGGGAGAGUGGAAUUCCAUGUGUAGCGGUGAAAUGCGUAGAUAUAUGGAGGAACACCGGUGGCGAAAGCGGCUCUCUGGUCUGUAACUGACGCUGAGGCUCGAAAGCGUGGGGAGCGAACAGG
This 429-nucleotide ribosomal RNA is filed under the name Bacteroidota bacterium. RNAcentral describes it as "Bacteroidetes bacterium partial 16S ribosomal RNA". It matches the Rfam family "Bacterial small subunit ribosomal RNA", at positions 355 to 776 of the family's 1533-position model. Lineage: Bacteria; Pseudomonadati; Bacteroidota. The record is from RNAcentral.